This 465-nucleotide ribosomal RNA is filed under the name uncultured bacterium. RNAcentral describes it as "bacterial SSU rRNA". It matches the Rfam family "Bacterial small subunit ribosomal RNA", at positions 28 to 507 of the family's 1533-position model. The record is from RNAcentral.
GAUGAACGCUAGCGGCAGGCCUAAUACAUGCAAGUCAAGGGGAUAGCAAUAUCACCGGCGGACGGGUGCGUAACGCGUACACAACGUGCCCAAGGGCGGAGGAAAGCGGCGGGAAACUGCCGGUAAUACUCCAUGGUGUUGUUGAGUGGCAUCACUUAACAACUAAAGUACAAGCGCCCUUGGAUCGGUGUGCGUUCGAUUAGCUAGUUGGCGGGGUAACGGCCCACCAAGGCUUCGAUCGAUAGGGGGUGUGAGAGCAUGACCCCCCACACGGGUACUGAGACACGGACCCGACUCCUACGGGAGGCAGCAGUAAGGAAUAUGGACAAUGGCGGAAGCCUGAUCCAGCCAUGCCGCGUGAAGGACGAAGGCGCUCAGCGUUGUAAACUUCUUUGGAUGGGAACAAUAACUCCGACUUGUCGGAACUUGAGGGUACCAUCAGAAUAAGCACCGGCUAACUCCGUG